This 253-nucleotide ribosomal RNA is filed under the name uncultured bacterium. RNAcentral describes it as "partial 16S ribosomal RNA". It matches the Rfam family "Bacterial small subunit ribosomal RNA", at positions 524 to 776 of the family's 1533-position model. The record is from RNAcentral.
UACGUAGGGGGCGAGCGUUGUCCGGAAUCAUUGGGCGUAAAGCGCGUGUAGGCGGCUCGGUAAGUCCGCUCUGAAAGUCCAAGGCUCAACCUUGGGAUGCGGGUGGAUACUGCCGGGCUCGAGUCCGGAAGAGGCGAGUGGAAUUCCUGGUGUAGCGGUGAAAUGCGUAGAUAUCGGGAGGAACACCAGUGGCGAAGGCGGCUACCUGGCCCACUCUUGACGCUGAGGCGCGAAAGCUAGGGGAGCAAACGGG